GUAGCACAGGAAUAAGCCUCGGCUAACUACGUGCCAGCAGCCGCGGUAAAACGUAGGAGGCGAGCGUUAUCCGGAGUUACUGGGCGUAAAGCGCGUGUAGGUGGCUUGUUGCGUCUGCUGUGAAAGCUUCCGGCUUAACCGGGACUAUGCGGUAGAUACGGGCAAGCUAGAGGGUGACAGAGGAGCGUAGAAUUCCGGGUGUAGUGGUGAAAUGCGUAGAGAUCCGGAGGAAUACCAGUGGCGCAAGCGGCGCUCUGGGUCGAGCCUGACACUGAGACGCGAAGGCAUGGGGAGCGAACGGGAUUAGAAACCCCGGUAGUCCAUGCAGUAAACGAUGCAGACUGGGUGUGGGUAGCGCAAGCUAUCUGUGCCGAAGCUAACGCGCUAAGUCUGCCGCCUGGGAAGUACGGUCGCAAGACUAAAACUCAAAGGAAUUGACGGGGGCCCGCACAAGCAGCGGAGCGUGUGGUUUAAUUCGAGGCUACACGAAGAACCUUACCUAGGGUCGACAUAUUGGUGGUAGUGAACCGAAAGGGGAACGACGCUUCGGCGAGCCAGUACAGGUGCUGCAUGGUUGUCGUCAGCUCGUGCCGUGAGGUGUUCGGUUAAGUCCGAAAACGAGCGCAACCCUCGGGGUGCGUUACAUGUGUCGCACGCGACUGCCCGUGAGAAACGGGAGGAAGGUGGGGAUGACGUCAAAUCAGCAUGGCCUAUAUCUCUAGGGCUACACACACGCUACAAUGGACGGUACAGUGCGUUGCGAAGGCGCGAGCCGGAGCCAAUCGAGAAAGCCGUUCGAAGUUCGGAUUGCAGGCUGCAACCCGCCUGCAUGAAGCUGGAGUUGCUAGUAACCGCGCGUCAGCCAUAGUGCGGUGAAUACGUUCCCGGGCCUUGUACACACCGCCCGUA
Molecule: ribosomal RNA, 909 nt
Filed under: uncultured bacterium
Lineage: Bacteria
Description: bacterial SSU rRNA
Rfam family: Bacterial small subunit ribosomal RNA
Source: RNAcentral